Long non-coding RNA from Monomorium pharaonis (pharaoh ant), 5082 nucleotides. RefSeq lists it as uncharacterized. The record is from RefSeq and is a predicted model, not a curated record. Lineage: Eukaryota; Metazoa; Arthropoda; Insecta; Hymenoptera; Formicidae. The transcript has 2 exons.
CAUCAAAAAAUAUUAGGAAAGAGAAAUAUGUAAACGGUAUUUUAGACAGUUUUUUAAAUUGUCUAUAUAAAUUACGCCAAUAUUACUAAUUAGCAUUAAAUUUAACAUAAUAAUUUCAGCCUGACAACUAAAGAUCAUUUUUGUAACGUUCUUUAAAAAAUUCUUUCUGUAUGUUACUAUUUAAAUGUUAUAAUAAGAGAACUAUUCGUUCGUUAAAUUGUAUAAAUUGCGUUUUCUAAACUCUAUAAUUAUUAAGUUUUAAAAAUCGCAAGAACUCAACUAUACAUAACGACAUAAUAUUAGCACAAAUGUCUUGUUACAAUUUGAUGAUGCAACGAAAAAUGGCCUACGUCAGAGCAUAUGUUUCCUUCGUUUGUCGCAAGUCAGAAUGAACAGCAUUACUUAUUAUAUAAUGUUAUUUUCUUAUAAACGUGCCGCAAAUGCCACGUGCGCCAUUAAUCUGCCACCGCCGCGCUGUUUGCAUGCAAAUUCUGCCAGAAUUUAUCAGAUCUUACGUCUAUAUGAUUUUAUGACGCAAAUAUCUAUUUUACGAAUAACGUCUUCGCGAAAAUUGAGCACGACGGUAAAUAACGAAGACAACUUUUUUCAGCUUUACAUCGUGCAACAACUGCUGCGCGUUUUAAACGCGCGUGCGUUUAUUUGUUCAUGGCAUAAUAUUUGUUUAUAUUGUCACAUUGAUAAAAGAAAUACAAAAGACAUAAGUAAAAAAUGAAUAAUUAUUAGGCUUAUAAGAGAAGAAUCAAAAAAUCGUUAUAGAAUAUAAUUUAUGAUUUUAUAAAGAAUUAUAUUUUAAAAAACAAUGCCUUUUCCGCUUUUAUUUUUUUUUUCAUUGUUAUAUCUUAUGGAAAAUGCAGACUGUCAAAACAAUUUAAUACUAAGAUACCAGAACCGGUGCGACAUAUGAAAAGUGUAACACAUGGAGAAACUGGGAAAGAUUCUAGCUGGCAUUAGGUCUCCCUAGGCAGAAGCUGUCAAUGACGAUAAACUGAACAAAGUUUAUCAAUAAAUCGUCAUGAAGAAUAAUGACUAUUAAUCUGUCACGAUCAUGACAGCGAUGAAUUCAUGUGACGUGACGAAUGGCGCGGAUGACUCAAGCGCAUAAAUUUCCAUUUCUAGCGCAACUUGUGCGAGGCCGAAGAGCGAGCGCAAUUUCGAUAAGUGGGUUACGAACUAUAUCGCUUCCCGAAUGAUCUUUCGACGAUUGUUUGGCUGCUCCUGCGAUCGGCCGGCGCCGCCAGAGGAUUCUAAUGCUCGCUAGAAAGUGUGGCAUUAAAUUCCCGGCUACGUGCCAAGAAAUCCGCGCAGGGACGCACGCGUUGAAAGAUGUCGGCGCCUUUCGGUUCGGGCGGGGCAGAGAAAAUAAUCAACGUUCCUUAUGAUCUAAUUGCCCUUGCGCGAUUUGGAAAGAAUCUAAAAUCGCGCACAUCUCCAGCUCUCCCUGCGUUUUCCUUGAACUUUGCACUUUGUUCCUAUUUUUCUUUUAAAUAUAUGUAUACCCGUUUAUCGUCGACUACUUGUGAAACCGUGCACCCCGAUUCAGGGAUCUGGAGGGUCAAAGGGUUUGAAAAUUAUAUCUUUAGCAAUUUUUUUGCGAAUUGAAUAAAUGUAUAAAAAUAAAGAGAUAUUCGAGAGACAUUUACAACAUAUAACGAGUAGGAAAAUAAACGUCAAUGAAAGAAAAAUUCUUUAUUUUAUAGAGAUUCACUUGAUAGUGAGACGUGCUGAAGAUUUCUAAUUAAAAUUCGGACUUUGAAAUCAAAGCUAAAAGAUCUAUUGUAAAAAAAAAAAAAAACAAAUUAUACUUUAGCUAUACAUUUCCAUAAAUAUCUGUUCAUAGAAAGCGUAUUUUUCUUCAUAUAUUAUAUGAAUAUGUAUCAGAAGUUCACUUUCGUACAUUUAUUCAGUACGUCAUGAGAAAUUGUAACAAAGAUUUUCAGCAAUUCGAUCCUCUGAUUCACAAGAAAGAUCUAGAAUCUCGCUAGAAGCAUUGUUUUGCCGGAAAGCUUUCGAACUUUGUUACGAAAAAGUUUUCGAGCAAAUAUUUGAAGUUCCAGGAAACAAUCAUCGUGGCACGUAAGAUCUCUCUUCAAGAUUUCUCCGUACGAAUUUAUCGAGGUUGUGUACGCUUUUUUUUAUCAGAACUAUUCAAAUCCUCUCCUACCUAUCCUAUGCUCGAAGCACCCUCCGCCCCGUAUUUUUAAUCGUAUUUCGCUGCGAAUCUCGUUUUUUCUCCGGGAGAAACAAGAUCGAGCGCGCGCUUCAUUAAAUACCUCUCUCGGCCUCGCGGAACCGCGGUACGGUCUAUUUCUGAUGCAUUUUCCUCGCGAUCCCGCACGCGUUUCGCAUUUUAAUCAUAACUUGGAACGUAUUUAUAUCCCCUGGUCAUAAACACGAAAGCUACCGUUCUCACAUUUCUUCCUUCUCGCUGAGCACCUCAUAUAAUUUAAGACGUGUUUGCGCCCGCGAGAUCACCUGCGGCAAUCAAUCUUCGGUAACGUGUUAUUGCCGUCAAUCAUUGUAUCAUCGAUACCUUUUCUCUUGUGUAUAGCCAACACACUUUCGAAAGGAAUUGCCAAUAAACGUUCGCCCGUGUUAUCAUCAAAUCUAAUCUCGUGGAGAAGCUUCUAAGAACGAACGCUUGUUUACUGUUCUCGCAACAGCCUCGACAGUUGCGUGCCGCCAUAUUUUAUUUGAAAUAAAAACAAAUCUUAAAAAAAAAGAACAAUCAAAUAAUUACCGCCUGUCUCCGAUAAUUAACGGAUUUCUCCUUCCCCUCCCUCUCACCGGUGACUUUAUUGGUACCUGGACAAAACGCGGACCUGUUUAACACCCGAAAACCUCGGAUUCUCGCCGGCGCGUCCCUGCUGGGCGGCCACCGGUGGUUAUUUUUGUCUACAAAAUUCCUCCGAAUAUAUCUACAUCGUCCGCAAAAUCUCUACUACACUUCCCCCUCCUCCUGCUAGUCUUUGGAGCCCGCUCCUCGCGGGUCGUAUUGAAUUACAUAUUAAAGCUCGCGCGCGCCGCGAUAAAAAGCGGCCGACAUCGAGAUGUCGAUUCAACAAUAGCGCGUGUCGAUCAGCAAUUCCGGCGUGUCGUCAUUCAAUGCCGGGAAUUGAUGACGAAUUCAUCUCGCGAUGUUUCCUCGCUAACUUGGCACUGAAAAGUGCGACAAUGGAUCGGUCGUCGAGACAAACCCAAUGCUAAUCGAUUUAGAUCCAUUUGCACCAGUGUAGCACGGAAGAAAAAUAUUUAUUAAAACAACUAAGAACGGAUUCAGCAGAUCCGUAGCCGUAACGUAUAACAGCUAGUUUUUUAUGUUAAAGUAACAGAGCUUUAACAGCUGUGAAUAAAAUUAGCAAUUAUAAUUAAGUUGGGCGAUUAAUAAAGACAACAACUCUCUGUGAAAAUCAAUUAAAUAUAUGGAUGUUGAAAUUUUUAAUGAAACAUUAGCUGAGAUGGCGCAUACUUUUAUUUUGAAAUAAAAAAAACUUGUUUCUUGAUUACGUGAGCAAUUCUUUCGGAUGUAAUAUAUUUCUUUGUUGAACGUACUAAAUUAAAAAUGAAAUUAUUAUCUUCUUUGUUACAGAUGUGAAACUCGCGCAGCAAGCUACAGCUUUGCUGAAUCACCCAAUCUAUUUUUUCCCCGUAAGCUCUACUUUCCAUUUUAUCUAAUUCUUAGAACUAGAAGGAGUUGAAUCGCUAAACGGUUCAAGCACUUAAACGCGCGGAUUCUCGAGGCGAAGUUUCCUUUCGCGAAAGUGACAACCGCUUUUCGCGUCUCCCGGAAUGCACGGGAACCGUGGCCGAGGUUUCCUUUACAUAACUCACAUCUAUUCCAAGCUGCGACAGCGUUUACCCGAAACUCUUACCGGACUCUUCGUACAUCGCGCCAGAUUCCGCGUGAAGAAAAAAAUCUCAUGAAAAUCAAUUCUCGCGAGUACGAAACCGCCAAGUGAUAUUUGUCAGUCGAAAACGCGACAAUGCUGCCAUUUCUCAACGAUGCAGUUAAAGAUUACAAUUUUCAUUAAAUAAUUAUGAAUAGUGAACUUAAUUGAUACUGAAAAUGUAUGUUUCUUUAAUUAUUUUGAAUUACAUCUGAAUUAAUCAAGAAUUCAUGACAAUCCUGGAACAACUGGCUUCAAUUAAUCUUCUAAAACCAACGCUGCGUACGAAAUUUAGUUUCGCAAUAAAGCCGAUUCGAGAAACACAUUAAUUUAAUUCCUUUUUUCGCCGAGGAACGUUUUCGCAAAAAUUUCGCGUGACGCAAUCGGGAGCAAAGGGGGAGAAGGGGAUAAUAAUUUUUCCGCAUUGCGGAAUAAUUCUCGUCGGCGUGACGUGUCGCCUAUUUCUGGCCGAUUGUUUGCAACGUUACGAUGCAAACGUUGCGUAUAUAACGCAGCUUUUUGGACGUCCGGAGUGUGUUGUGACGCAUACCGUCGCGGUGGUCAAAGCGUUGCGGAUAGACGGGGCGGCGCGCCGUCGUGUAAAUUUCAAUCGCCACCUCAUCUACACGUCUCGAGAAUGAAGCGGGAAACGUCAUUUCGUUUUUUGGCCGGACGGGCCUGCCCCUAAGUAGACGAUACGUCCCGCUGACUCACGAACCCGUGGCUCAAUUCGAGAAUAACCGUACCGCUUUUUCGCGACACAAACGAUUAUUGUGCUCUACGCCUCGUCUGCAAUUGUUUAUUACGUGCUGCACGACUUAUUUAUGUUACGAAUUAAUCAAAACGAAGGAAUCCGCAAAUCGAUCUAAUUGCAGGUCAUUAUUAAUAGAGCCAAUAUCUUCUAGCUUCGUUGAUAGUAAUUGACUACCAACGACGACUUGGCCUAGUUUCCCGUGACAAUUAGCCGGUUAAACGCCAAGAUAAUAAUUGAGUACGACAACUACACUGCCAGUUAAGUUGCCAAUGAUAGAGCGACAAUAUGAUCGAUCGAUCCCUAACUUGUAUGGAAAAGGGAUAAGCGAAUUCGUAACACUUUUGAACUUUCUUUCCACGUUCAUAAUUGCACGCUGUACGACUUGAUUUACUUCAAUAAAGGAUAUUAUUCUCUUGAACUUUC